RNAcentral lists this ribosomal RNA (1541 nucleotides) under Salmonella sp. CVCC 1806. RNAcentral's name for it is "bacterial SSU rRNA". It matches the Rfam family "Bacterial small subunit ribosomal RNA". Lineage: Bacteria; Pseudomonadati; Pseudomonadota; Gammaproteobacteria; Enterobacterales; Enterobacteriaceae. The record is from RNAcentral.
AAAUUGAAGAGUUUGAUCAUGGCUCAGAUUGAACGCUGGCGGCAGGCCUAACACAUGCAAGUCGAACGGUAACAGGAAGCAGCUUGCUGCUUUGCUGACGAGUGGCGGACGGGUGAGUAAUGUCUGGGAAACUGCCUGAUGGAGGGGGAUAACUACUGGAAACGGUGGCUAAUACCGCAUAACGUCGCAAGACCAAAGAGGGGGACCUUCGGGCCUCUUGCCAUCAGAUGUGCCCAGAUGGGAUUAGCUUGUUGGUGAGGUAACGGCUCACCAAGGCGACGAUCCCUAGCUGGUCUGAGAGGAUGACCAGCCACACUGGAACUGAGACACGGUCCAGACUCCUACGGGAGGCAGCAGUGGGGAAUAUUGCACAAUGGGCGCAAGCCUGAUGCAGCCAUGCCGCGUGUAUGAAGAAGGCCUUCGGGUUGUAAAGUACUUUCAGCGGGAGGAAGGUGUUGUGGUUAAUAACCGCAGCAAUUGACGUUACCCGCAGAAGAAGCACCGGCUAACUCCGUGCCAGCAGCCGCGGUAAUACGGAGGGUGCAAGCGUUAAUCGGAAUUACUGGGCGUAAAGCGCACGCAGGCGGUCUGUCAAGUCGGAUGUGAAAUCCCCGGGCUCAACCUGGGAACUGCAUUCGAAACUGGCAGGCUUGAGUCUUGUAGAGGGGGGUAGAAUUCCAGGUGUAGCGGUGAAAUGCGUAGAGAUCUGGAGGAAUACCGGUGGCGAAGGCGGCCCCCUGGACAAAGACUGACGCUCAGGUGCGAAAGCGUGGGGAGCAAACAGGAUUAGAUACCCUGGUAGUCCACGCCGUAAACGAUGUCUACUUGGAGGUUGUGCCCUUGAGGCGUGGCUUCCGGAGCUAACGCGUUAAGUAGACCGCCUGGGGAGUACGGCCGCAAGGUUAAAACUCAAAUGAAUUGACGGGGGCCCGCACAAGCGGUGGAGUAUGUGGUUUAAUUCGAUGCAACGCGAAGAACCUUACCUGGUCUUGACAUCCACAGAAGAAUCCAGAGAUGGAUUUGUGCCUUCGGGAACUGUGAGACAGGUGCUGCAUGGCUGUCGUCAGCUCGUGUUGUGAAAUGUUGGGUUAAGUCCCGCAACGAGCGCAACCCUUAUCCUUUGUUGCCAGCGAUUAGGUCGGGAACUCAAAGGAGACUGCCAGUGAUAAACUGGAGGAAGGUGGGGAUGACGUCAAGUCAUCAUGGCCCUUACGACCAGGGCUACACACGUGCUACAAUGGCGCAUACAAAGAGAAGCGACCUCGCGAGAGCAAGCGGACCUCAUAAAGUGCGUCGUAGUCCGGAUUGGAGUCUGCAACUCGACUCCAUGAAGUCGGAAUCGCUAGUAAUCGUGGAUCAGAAUGCCACGGUGAAUACGUUCCCGGGCCUUGUACACACCGCCCGUCACACCAUGGGAGUGGGUUGCAAAAGAAGUAGGUAGCUUAACCUUCGGGAGGGCGCUUACCACUUUGUGAUUCAUGACUGGGGUGAAGUCGUAACAAGGUAACCGUAGGGGAACCUGCGGUUGGAUCACCUCCUUA